UUUAAAAAUGAGCAUGUGACUGGUAAUGGCUUCAAUAUGAUUUGUCCCCCUGGCACUCCGCUGAAAUUUGGUUGUCAUUAUUAAGGUGGUACUGGGAGGUGUGACCUUUAGCAGCUCCUUUCUGCUUUCUCCCAUGAGCUGAAGCAAGACCCUCACCAAAAGCUGAAUGGAUGCCGGUGUCAUGCUUUGAACUUCCCGGGAUGCUAGAACCAUGAGCCAAAAUAAACCUCUUUCCUUUAUCAAUUAUCCAGCCUUGAAUGAGUAUUCUGUUACAGUUACAGAAAAUGGACAAAGAUGUGACACAAGGGAAAACUAAUUUCUGGGCAAAAUUUUUGCUCCCCAAGAAAGAGUCAAAAGAAGAGAGAGUCCUUUAUCUUCUUCCUCCUGACAUUGCCUCAUGAUGUGAAGUUUUGUGCUAGCUUGGCCAUUUUGACUCAACUUUGUCAGAAAUCCAAUGUGGAUAAAAGAGAGGAGCAGAAAGAAUCUGGUUCUUCUUGACAUCACUGGUCUGCUGACUUAACCAACGGGAAGCUGUACUCAGCUUUGAACUUUCUGUCAUACUGAUAGAGGCACAGGAAAGUGCGGUGCAGAAGAGAAAGAAAUAGAACUCCCUGAAACCCUUGUAAAGAAAUGG
This is a long non-coding RNA of Chinchilla lanigera (long-tailed chinchilla), 634 nucleotides long. RefSeq lists it as uncharacterized. The record is from RefSeq and is a predicted model, not a curated record. NCBI's taxonomy places the organism in Eukaryota, Metazoa, Chordata, Mammalia, Rodentia, Chinchillidae. The transcript is spliced from 3 exons.